RNAcentral lists this transfer-messenger RNA (347 nucleotides) under Nitrospiria. RNAcentral describes it as "2-01-FULL-66-17 sp001803875 Standard tmRNA". It matches the Rfam family "transfer-messenger RNA". From Rfam's summary of the family: Bacterial tmRNA, also known as 10Sa RNA or SsrA, is named for its dual tRNA and mRNA-like properties. Its role is to liberate the mRNA from a stalled ribosome. The record is from RNAcentral. RNAcentral also lists the same sequence under 1 other name. Lineage: Bacteria; Pseudomonadati; Nitrospirota.
GGGGGCGAAUAGGGUCGACGGAGAUCGGGAUGUUUCGAGUGGCGUGCCGAGGUCCCAGAGGUCUCGUAAAACAACUGGGAACGUAACAACUGCCAACCAAGAACUGGCACUCGCAGCUUAAGCUGCGCGUCUUUUCACUGUAGGCUGCCUGUCCUACCGAAAAGGCGCCGUGAUACAGGCUGGCCGGUCCUCCUCGCUUGAGGGAGGCCCGGCGAGACGCACUCAAGCUAGCGACCGACGCGCCCGCCCCGGGCAGCGGCGGCGGCGAAUCCGAAACGGGGCUACGCACGUAGUCACUCGGGGCUGAAGGUCUUCGGACGCGGGUGCGAUUCCCGCCGCCUCCACCA